AACGAACGCUGGCGGCAUGCCUAACACAUGCAAGUCGAACGAGCACUUCGGGUCUUGUCGCGUCCGGGUUCGUAAGGCGUGGGAACAUUAACUUAGGUUUGGACUAACUCAGAGACAUUUGAAAUAAUACCGGAUGAUGUCUUCGGCCCAAAGAUUUAUCGAGCUUCGAUGGGCGAGCGUUGAAUUAGGUUGUUGGUGGGGUAAAGGCUUAACAAGGCGCGCAUUCAUAGCUGGUCUGAGAGGCAGAUUAGCAACACGUGGACUAGGACACGGCCCAGACUCCUACGCGAGGCAGGAAUGGGUGAUGGUGGACAGUGGGCGAAGUCCUGAUCCAGCAAUGCCGCGUGAGUGAUGAAGUCCUGAGGGUAGUAAAGCUCUUGUACCCGAGAUGAUAAUGACGGUAUCGGGAGAAUAAGCUCCGGCUAACUCCGUG
RNAcentral lists this ribosomal RNA (433 nucleotides) under uncultured bacterium. RNAcentral describes it as "partial 16S ribosomal RNA". It matches the Rfam family "Bacterial small subunit ribosomal RNA", at positions 29 to 507 of the family's 1533-position model. The record is from RNAcentral.